AGAAAGCUUUGCGCGGGGGCGGAGGCGGCAGGGAUGCGAUGGCGGAGUCGCUGCCCCUGGAGGAUGGUCGCUCCAUCCCCAGGAGAUGGCUGCCCCCUUCCCCUGGCGGUGGGAGACAGAAUGCCCUCUCCCCAGCAACUCCGUGCCUGGUCUUUGAGUUCGUUCACGGAGUACAGGCCUGCUCCCUACUUCUUCGUCCCCUGAAAUGGCCACCCCUACCUGCUUCAUCCCAUGGGAUGUUUGCUCUUUCUUCUUAACCUGGAGCAAGACCACUCUGCUGUCACUGGUGAGAGAGAAAUAACAGGUUUUGUCCCCAGUGGCCUCUUAGGAUGGCCUCUCUCUCUCUUUCGCCCUCAGAAUUGGCAGCCCCCUCCUGCUGCGAACGGGAGAUAGGCCACUCUUUCCCCAUAGACCCUGAAAUGGUGCAAGAAUAGGACUGCUCCCACCCUAUUGAGCCUCCUGUAAUGACAUCUUUUUUCCCCUUGACCUCAGAGAGGAUAUUCUUUCCAUCCCCAUAGACCGCAGGGAUGACAGUCAUAUCUCUAGUAGCCCCUUGGGAUGGGGUUCAUGGGAUGGCCUGAGAAGGGCCACCCCCCUUCUCAGCUCAAAGAAUCGUGCUCCCUCCCAUCAGUGAGGACAGGUUUAUUACCCUCCCUUUGCUCCUUGGGUUGGCUGCUCUGUCCCAGAAGACAGGAUGAGCACUAUCUUAACUUGGCUCAAACAGGGUUUCCUGUUUCCCCCUGGGGAUGGGAGCUUGGUCAGUCCCAGUCUUCAUCAGCGUUCUCUCCUUGGCCCAGAAGGCUGUUCUCCCUAGUCAUUCUCCUCUCAAUAAUGAUCUGCUUUAACUCCCCACCCCUUCCCUGAACAAACCUUUGGUGAAAAUAGAGGUAGAGAACCAUCUAUCCUUAAUUCAAUCCAGUAAGUAUUGGCUGAGCACCUUGUGUGUGCUAGGGAUCAGAGAAGGGAAGAAGUCAGAAUGGGCUGAUGAGGUCAAGCUUAAGGGUGAUAUUCCAGGGAAGAGGCCCACAUAGGCAAAAGGAAAUAGACAUACUGUGUUUGUAGGACAGUGGGAAGAUUGGAUUGGGGAAUUUCUGGGAUCAGGAGUCCAGUCAGGCAUGGAGGCUAGCAGUGCUGACCCAAGAAUGGAGAUUUUGUCCUGAGGAUAAUGGGGAACCUUGUAGGUUUUCAUCAGGGGUGUGCUAAGACUGAAAGCUGUUUGUUUAGGGAAAUUAACUUUGUGACAGUAGUGCAGAAUGACUGGCAAGGAUGAGCCUGGAGGCAGGGAGGUCAGGUGGGAGAUUGUGGAAGGAAUCCAGGUCUGGGGUGAUGAAGAUCUUCGCUACUAAGGUGGUAAAGUUUCAAAGGUAGAAAUACUAGUAACAACAAUGCAGCAACCACUUAUGGAAUGUCGAUUAGGUGUUAAUCCCAUCAUAGCUAUUAAAUAUAUAUAUGUACACAUAAAUAAUAUAUAUGUAUAUAUAAUUGAAUCCCUAUAAGACUAUGAUGUAGAUUUUUAAUAUCUGCAUUUUACAGAUAUGGAAACUGAGGCUCAGAGAGGUCUAGUACCUUGCUUGAGGUCACACAGUUAGGAAGUAGUGGAGCUGGAAUUUGAAAGUUUCUAAAUUAAGCUGGCCUAAAGCCUAUGCUUUACACCUGUAUCUGAGAGCAAGCGACAAGAGCAGGAAGAGUGCAAAGUAUUAUGAGCUUCAGGUGGUAUACACUGUUAGCAUGGAAGCUCCGGUGCUGGAAAGUUAGGAGGAGGAGCUGCUUUGGACUGAGGACAGAAUGUGAAUUUUGGUUGAGAUUAAGGUGAUAGUAAAACAUUUGGAUGAAGGAUCCUGUGGACAGUUGGCAAUACUGGACUAGCACUUGGAUGAUAGGACAAUGUGAGGAUAUUGAAUUGUUGGUUAUUCCUGUAGAGGUAAGUGUUGAAGCCAUGCAAAUGAAUUUAUUACCCUAGGAAGUAAACAGAUCAAAAGACCCAGGUCAGAGCCCUGGGAGCCAGAGAAGAAUCCAGAAACAGCAGUUGGAGUGCUGAGUGGAGCCCUAGAAAAUAGAGUGUAACAGGAGUCAAGGAGGGAAGAUUCCAGAAAAAAAGAAUAGUUAAUAUAGGGGCCUGCCCCAUGGCCAAGUGUUACAUUCCUGUGCUCUGCUUCAAAGCCUGGGGUUCGCAGGUUCAGAUCCUGGGCGUGGACCUAUACACUGCUCGUCAAGCAAUGCUGUGGUGGUAUCCCACAUAGAGGAACUAGAAUGACCUACAAUUAGGAUAUACAACUAUGUCCUGGGGCUUUAGGGAGAAAAAAAAAAAGAGGAAGAUUGGCAACAGAGGUUAGCUCAGUGCCAAUCUUCCUCACCAAAAAGCAUUAAAAAAAAAAGAAUAGUUAAUAUAGGAUCACUCCUGGCCUCAUAGGCAACAACCUUUCCAGACCCCUAUAGGGCCUCCAAUCUCACCACUCCAGCCUCACAAAACUUAGGUAGAGUGAGGGCCUGAGCCUCCCAGGCUGGAUCUUGCUGAGCCAGCUGAGAAGGCGAGUUGGCAGUGGAGAAGAUAGGAAAAGAGUGGGAUCCCAGAGCCCGAACUGUGAGGGCAGGAGGAAGGGAUGUGGCUUCCUGAAGAUCACGGGAGGAGCACCUGACUUGCUGUGUUCUAGAACCUAUGCAAGACACUAUACUAUGUUAUUUAAUUCUCACAAUAACACAUUUAAAUCUCACUACAAUUGCCAUUUUACGGAUAAGGAAAACAAAGCUCAGAGAGGUCAGUUAAUAGAGUAAGGAUUUGAACUAAGUUUAUUUGGUCCCAGUGCCCAGCGUCUUUUUGCCAAGCAGCAGGAAGUUUGAUUUUUUUUUUUAAAGAUUUUAUUUUUCCUUUUUCUCCAAAAGCCCCCCGGUACAUAGUUGUGUAUUUUUAUUUGUGGGUCCUUCUAGUUCUGGCAUGUGGGAUGCUGCCUCAGCAUGGCCUGAUGAGCAGUGCCAUGUCUACGCCCAGGAUUCGAACCGGCAAAACCCUGGGCUGCUGAAGCAGAGCGCGCAAACUUAACCACUCGGCCAGGGGGCCGGCCCCAGAAGUUUGAUUUUUAUCACUCAGUACAAACCUGGAUCCAGAUAGGGCUCAGGAAGGGUUUGUUCACAGUAAAGAUACCUGGAGGCUGGAGAGGGGAAGUGAAAACUCUGUAAAACUUAGGACCUAAGAUGAACUAGAAGCCAGGGCUCUAGUCCCCUUGGACUACUGUAACAUCAGCUGGAGUAGUUUCCAAAGGCCUCGCAACUCUUUUUUUUUUUGAGGAAGAUUAUCCCUGAGCUAACGUCUGCUGCCAAUCCUCCUCUUUUUGCUGAGGAAGACUGGCCCUAAGCUAACAUCCAUUCCCAUCUUCCUCUACUUUAUAUGUGGGAUGCCUACCACAGCAUGGCUUGCCAAACCGUGACAUGUCCACACCCGGGAUCUGAACUGGCGAACCCCAGGCCGCUGAAGUGGAACAUGGGCACUUAACUGCUGCACGACCGGGCCGGCCCCAUGGGCCUCCCAACUCUUAACAGCCCCCAGUGCCCUGUCUUUUUCCCUCAGAUACUCACAUAUAUUCUGAGCUUCCUGCCUCUGUCAGAUUAGAAAAGAGGCCUCCCUCAUGGGUCGGGCUUGGUACUGUGCAGCCCAGAAUGCCCUUCAGGAGGUAAGGUGCCCCUCCUCAGCUGGCCCAUUUUCAGUUGUCUCUCACUUCAUCCUGCUCAUGGCUCUGCUUCUACAUCAUCCAUCUGUUCGUGCAUGCAUACAUAUUCAUACAGUGCUGGGACUAUACAGAUGACUAAGACAUGGUCCCCUCCCCCGAGGAGCUCAUAGUCCAGUGAAGGGGAAAGACAAGUAUGUGAGUGAUCAUGAUAUUGUGUGCUCAGUGCUGCAACAGUGGAAUGAGGUGCAACUGGAACAUGAAGAAGGACAUCCAGAGGAGACGGGCAGCAUCAGGGAAGGCUUCCUGAAGGAAUAGGAUAAGGAUGAAGGUUGGUCUUCCAGGGCUGGUAACAGCACAGAUGAAGGCACCAAGGUGUGAAAUAGUUCUGGAAACCACCACAGAAGUUCCAUAUGACUGGAACUUAGAUGCGUGUGGGAGAAGUGCUGGAAGAUGAGGCUAGAAAGGGGUCAGACUGCAAGCUGGCAGGUGUGCCAGGCAAUGUUAGUGGGGCUUCCUCUUGAUUUCCCUCAUGGAGCCUGUAAAAGAAUGUUAAGUCAGGGGAGUGACACAGUGUGAUUUGUGUCUUAGAACUGCAGUGCAGAGUGGACUGGAGAGGGCAAGUCAGAGUGUAGGGAGACAGCCCGGCUAGGAGGUGAAUGCAGACGUCUGUGCUAGUUUGCAAAGCAAGCAAUGAUAACUCUUUGUUUAAUUUUGAUUUCUUUGUUAUACUGGGGUUGAACAGUUUUUCUCAUUAGCUGACCGUUUAUAUUUGCCUCUUUUGUUUAUUCAUGUUCUUUAUCCAUUUAACUACUGGGG
This 4478-nucleotide long non-coding RNA is filed under the name Equus caballus (horse). RNAcentral's name for it is "lncRNA (ENSECAG00000053015.1)". Lineage: Eukaryota; Metazoa; Chordata; Mammalia; Perissodactyla; Equidae. The record is from RNAcentral.